GACGAACGCUGGCGGCGUGCUUAACACAUGCAAGUCGAACGAAGUGGCGUACGGGUGAGUAACGCGUAAUCAACCUCCCCUUCUGAGGGGGUCAACAGUUGGAAACGACUGCUAAUACCGCAUACUGAAGGAGGGGAUUGCGUCUGAUUGGGUCUGUGGAGGGGUAACGGCCCACCAAGGCGAGGAUCAGUAGCCGGUCUGGGAGGAUGAACGGCCACAUUGGGACUGAGACACGGCCCAGACUCCUACGGGAGGGAGCAGGGGGGAAUCUUCCGCAAUGGACGAAAGUCUGACGGAGCAAAGCCGCGUGAGUGAUGACGGCCUUCGGGUUGUAAAGCUCUGUUAAUCGGGACGCGGUACCGGAAUAGAAAGCCACGGCUAAAUACGUGCCAGCAGCCGCGGUAAUUC
Molecule: ribosomal RNA, 408 nt
Filed under: uncultured bacterium
Lineage: Bacteria
Description: partial 16S ribosomal RNA
Rfam family: Bacterial small subunit ribosomal RNA
Source: RNAcentral